This 497-nucleotide ribosomal RNA is filed under the name uncultured bacterium. Its description in RNAcentral is "partial 16S ribosomal RNA". It matches the Rfam family "Bacterial small subunit ribosomal RNA", at positions 28 to 507 of the family's 1533-position model. The record is from RNAcentral.
GACGAACGCUGGCGGCGUGCUUAACACAUGCAAGUCGAACGGUGAAGCGCCUUCCUUUUUGGUGGGUGUGGAUGAGUGGCGAACGGGUGAGUAACACGUGAGUAACCUGCCCCCUUCUUCUGGAUAACCGCAUGAAAGUGUUGCUAAUACGGGAUAUUCUGGGUCUGACGCAUGAUGGGUCUGGGAAAGAUAUUGUUUCGGUGGGGGAUGGGCUCGCGGCGUAUCAGCUUGUUGGUGAGGUGAGGGCCUACCAAGGCGGAGAUGGGUAGCCGGCCUGAGAGGGUGAACGGCCACAAGGGAAGUGAGACACGGCCCAGACGACUACGGGAGGCAGCAGGAGGGAAUCUGCCGCAAGGGGCGAAAGCCGGACGGAGCACCGCCGCGUGAGUGAGGAAGGUCUUCGGAGCGUAAAACGCGGUUAUUAGGGAAGAACAUAGGUGUAAGUAAGUGUGCACAGCUUGACGGUACCUAAGCAGAAAGCCACGGCUAACUACGUG